Molecule: ribosomal RNA, 468 nt
Filed under: uncultured bacterium
Lineage: Bacteria
Description: partial 16S ribosomal RNA
Rfam family: Bacterial small subunit ribosomal RNA
Source: RNAcentral
GACGAACGCUGGCGGCGUGCUUAACACAUGCAAGUCGAACGGAAAGGCCCUGCUUUUGUGGGGUGCUCGAGUGGCGAACGGGUGAGUAACAAGUGAGUAACCUGCCCUUGACUUUGGGAUAACUUCAGGAAACUGGGGCUAAUACCGGAUAGGAGCUCCUGCUGCAUGGUGGGGGUUGGAAAGUUUCGGCGGUUGGGGAUGGACUCGCGGCUUAUCAGCUUGUUGGUGGGGUAGUGGCUUACCAAGGCUUUGACGGGUAGCCGGCCUGAGAGGGUGACCGGCCACAUUGGGACUGAGAUACGGCCCAGACUCCUACGGGAGGCAGCAGUGGGGAAUAUUGCACAAUGGGCGGAAGCCUGAUGCAGCAACGCCGCGUGCGGGAUGACGGCCUUCGGGUUGUAAACCGCUUUCGCCUGUAACGAAGCGUGAGUGACGGUAAUGGGUAAAGAAGCACCGGCUAACUACGUG